CGCGUAGGUGGUAGUGCAAGUCUGGGGUGGAAUCUUAGGGCUUAACCCUAAAACUGCCUUGGAAACUGCAUUACUUGAGUCAGUGAGGGGAGGGUAGAAUUCCUGGUGUAGCGGUGAAAUGCGUAGAUAUCAGGAGGAAGGCCUGUGGCGAAGGCGGCCCUCUGGCGCUGAACUGACACUGAGGCGCGAAAGCGUGGGUAGCAAACAGGAUUAGAUACCCUGGUAGUCCACGCCCUAAACGGUGGGUACUAGGUGUAGGGCUCGUAAGGGUUCUGUGCCGAAGGGAAACCAUUAAGUGCCCCGCCUGGGGAGUACGGCCGCAAGGUUGAA
RNAcentral lists this ribosomal RNA (330 nucleotides) under uncultured bacterium. RNAcentral's name for it is "bacterial SSU rRNA". It matches the Rfam family "Bacterial small subunit ribosomal RNA", at positions 568 to 898 of the family's 1533-position model. The record is from RNAcentral.